GCCUUGGUAGCUCAAUUGGUAGAGCACGAGACUCUUAGCCUUGGGGUUGUGGGUUCUGGUCCCAUGUUGGGCA
Podarcis lilfordi (Lilford's wall lizard) is the source of this 73-nucleotide non-coding RNA. NCBI's taxonomy places the organism in Eukaryota, Metazoa, Chordata, Lepidosauria, Squamata, Lacertidae. The record is from the annotation of a GenBank genome assembly.